RNAcentral lists this long non-coding RNA (966 nucleotides) under Fukomys damarensis (Damara mole-rat). RNAcentral describes it as "lncRNA (ENSFDAG00000032023.1)". The record is from RNAcentral. Lineage: Eukaryota; Metazoa; Chordata; Mammalia; Rodentia; Bathyergidae.
GAUGCUGAAAACUCAUGGCUGAGAGAUGGGGUACAUACACCAAGUAUCAAGGUCAAGAUAAAUGGGAACAAAGAUAUGGCAGAAAAACAGGACGCAUUAAAGCAGAAUUGCCAUUGAUCAAAACAAAAUAGCAGAACUCUGAAGAAACACAUCAUUUGUCUUCAUAGCUUUAGAGUCUUCCUGGCUUCUGCAUUUGCAGCUGUUCCUGGAAGGAGAUCCAGUUGAAAAGGGGUUGUUGCGACCAAGGAACAGCUGGAUCUUUAAUGAUCUGUCAGCAGCUCACAGCAAAGUUCCAGCACCCUGAGAUUUCUAAUUUUUGGCCUGAAUCUUCUGCAUACAUCCGCAUUUGUCCUGCCAAAGACAGCCCACGGAUGUGCUGCUUUUCGGGAGGAUGGAGCAAGGGAGGGGGCGCUGAUUCAUGUGUCCCUGCUGUUCUCCACUUCUGUGACCACAGCUUGUCAGCUUGUGCACCUGGGUGGCUGGCUUGACCUCGCUCUGUCUCGUGUUCCAUCAGUUAAACUGGGGAAGGAAACCAUGCCUGCUGCACUGGCUUGUUGGAGGACUAAACAGGACAGCUCCUCCAAACACCGGAAACAAUGUUGGAAACACGACAAGGUCUCAGGAAGCGUCAGCUGUUAUUAUGAACAUCCAAGUCUUUAUUUAUUCUGGAUUUCUGUGUUGGAAUAUACCCAUGUCUUAUUUUCUCAAUGAAAAUUUAGUUUUCCAAGAAAGACACAACACAAAAAAUUUGAAACAUACAGAAAAAGGAAAAAGAAAAUCUAACACCAAAAUUUUCUGUGUUCAUUCUAGUUUUUACUUUGUAUUUUAAUUUUUUGAAACAAGAUCUUGCUACAAAUUUCAGGUUGGAUGUGAACUCACUGGGUAGCAUAGGCUUUCCACCAACUUACAGCAAUCCUCCUGCUUCAGCCACCCAAGUGCUGGGAUUACAGGUGUGUAUAAUCACAU